AUGUCCACUUCCACUGAAGCUCUUUCCACAUUCCAUACAUUGAAAUGGUUUCUCCCUCGUGUGACUUCGUUGGUGUCUUCUAAGUUUCGAACUUGUACUGAAGCUCUUUCCACAUUCAAUACAUUUAAAUGGUUUCUCCCCUGUGUGAAUUUGUUGGUGUAUUCUAAGGUCUCCACUUGUACUGAAGCUCUUUCCACACUCAAAACAUUCAAAUGGUUUCUCCCCUGUGUGAGUUCGUUGGUGUCUUCUAAGUGUAUAAUUUUGACUGAAGCUCUUUCCACAUUCCAUACACUGAAACCGUUUCUCCCCUGUGUGAGUUCGUUGGUGUAUUCUAAGUGCUCCGCUUAUGCUAAAACUCUUUCCACAUUCAAUACAUUUAAAUGGUUUCUCCCCUGUAUGAGUUUGUUGGUGAAUUCUAAGUUUCCCACUUGUACUGAAGCUCUUUCCACAUUCAAUACAUUUAAAUGGUUUCUCCCCUGUGUGAGUUCGUUGGUGUACUCUAAGUGCUCCGCUUAUGCUAAAACUCUUUCCACAUUCAAAACAUCUAAAUGGUUUCUCCCCUGUGUGAGUUCGUUGGUGUACUCUAAGUGCUCCGGUUAUGCUAAAACUCUUUCCACAUUCAAUGCAUUUAAAUGGUUUCUCCCCUGUGUGAGUUCGUUGGUGUAUUCUAAGGUCUCCACUUGUACUGAAGCUCUUUCCACACUCAAAACAUUCAAAUGGUUUCUCCCCUGUGUGUGUUCGUUGGUGUACUCUAAGUGCUCCGCUUAUGCUAAAACUCUUUCCACAUUCAAAACAUCUAAAUGGUUUCUCCCCUGUGUGAGUUCGUUGGUGUACUCUAAGUGCUCCGCUCAUGCUAAAACUCUUUCCACAUUCAAUACAUUUAAAUGGUUUCUCCCCUGUGUGAGUUCGUUGGUGUAUUCUAAGGUCUCCACUUGUACUGAAGCUCUUUCCACACUCAAAACAUUCAAAUGGUUUCUCCCCUGUGUGAGUUCGUUGGUGUAUUCUAAGGUAUCCAUUUUCACUGUAGCUCUUUCCACAUUCAAUACAUUUAUAUGGUUUCUCCCCUGUGUGAGUUUAUUGGUGUACUCUAAGUACUCCACUUUUGCUGAAACUCUUUCCACAUUCAAUACAUUUAAAUGGUUUCUCCCCCGUGUGAAUUCGUUGAUGUAUUCUAAGGUAUCCAUUUUGACUGUAGCUCUUUCCACAUUCAAUACAUUUAUAUGGUUUUUCCCCUGUGUGAGUUUGUUGGUGUAUUCUAAGUUUUCCACUUUCACUGACGCUCUUUCCACAUGCCAUACAUUUAAAUAG
This 1308-nucleotide long non-coding RNA is filed under the name Podarcis muralis (Common wall lizard). RNAcentral's name for it is "lncRNA (ENSPMRG00000003615.1)". Lineage: Eukaryota; Metazoa; Chordata; Lepidosauria; Squamata; Lacertidae. The record is from RNAcentral.